CUGUUUGAGCCAUUUCCGGGCGCGGGACGCGCAGGUCUUCAAACCGUUCCUCGGACUGGGCAGGGCUGAUUCAGGGGACCCAGUUCCUGCUGACCGAGGAUCUCCUGUGCCUUGCCAGAAAAUGUGUCCCCCCUUACCUUUGACAGGGGAGGCUGAGUGCUCUGUAAGACUGAUGCCCCGGGGGAGCAACGUGUCAUCUUUUGUUGCCGCCCCCUGCUGUCCCUGUCCUUUCAACCCGACUGAGAAUUCCUUGUCACGUCCUGUUCUGGGCCGUUGUCGGGUGCUCCUUACCCGCCAGCUGUGGCCCAGCUGCUACGUUCUCCAUUGGGGGGGGGGGUGUCACGCACCUGGUGUGUGAGCUGAUCUCCCCCUUACCCCUGGCGCUAGAAAUCCAGCAUGUCAAACUCAGGAGAAUUUAUUUACUCUCCUGGUGUUUUGCCUUCCUUGGAAUGUAAACGUCCCACAACCACACUGAAGGCAGGAUGAACAGUUGAAAGCUGACAAAACGCAACACGUCACCUGAGCCCUGGGUUAUUUAGGUCUCGAAGUAAAGAAGAAGAAGAAGACGACAGAGAAGAAGGAAAAAAUCAUGAAUGCAAAAUUAAGUCAAAAAGUAAAUAUUUAUUUAGGAAAAGAAAACGUUCCCCCCAAACGGCAAAUACUACAAGCAUCACAAAAUCUGGAGUUAUAAUAUAAUAUAAUAUGAUAUUAAUCAGCUGCCUAACCCAACUCUCUAAUGCCUUCUCUCUUCACUUUUGGCUACACACGCUUUUAUCACUUAUUCAUGUGACAGUAAUUUUGCUGUAUUACUUUAAUAAAGGUAUUUGAAAGAAAACUCCUAUUUUCUUUUACAUGGGUGAUCUCUUCUUCUUCUUCUUCUUCUUGAGAAUUAAGAUGUCAAAAACACGUGAUUCCCUGUAC
Felis catus (domestic cat) is the source of this 921-nucleotide long non-coding RNA. RefSeq lists it as uncharacterized. NCBI's taxonomy places the organism in Eukaryota, Metazoa, Chordata, Mammalia, Carnivora, Felidae. The transcript has 3 exons. The record is from RefSeq and is a predicted model, not a curated record.